Andrographis paniculata is the source of this 2468-nucleotide RNA transcript. RefSeq lists it as uncharacterized. The record is from RefSeq and is a predicted model, not a curated record. The transcript has 5 exons. NCBI's taxonomy places the organism in Eukaryota, Viridiplantae, Streptophyta, Magnoliopsida, Lamiales, Acanthaceae.
UACACCAACCAAAUUCCGCCACGUGGAAGAUAGCACUCAUGGGGUCCACAACUGUCGGCUCCCGUUGGAUUAUUUAAGAAAGGAAGAAAAUCAGCGGUCAUCGUUGCUACACGUAUCUGAAGUUAGAUGUCGGCGGGUGGACAGUUGGUCGGUUGAUUUCUUUUCAAUUAUCGAUGCCCUGGCCACGGGGGAUGCUGUUUUUGUUACACGUGAGAUGGGUAUAAAAGCACGUGACUUUCCCCUCUAAUUGGGCCAUAUAAUUACAAAAAUUAAGGCCCAACAUUAUUAGUGGUUGGGCUUAUUUUUGGGCCAAGCCUAAUAAUUUUUGAGGCGGCAAAUGUUAUUUUAUAUUAUUCUGGGGGUGAUUUGUAAUUAGGUUGGAGUUAGACGAAAUGAAAUAGUUUCCCCGCAACUUUCCGAUCAUCGGUUCAAAUUUUGCCGUCGGUUGUAGGCUUCGCCUCUCUGCCCGCGGUGAUCGUCGAAGAAUUGGAAAACGCGAGAAAUUUAUUGCGAAUGCUGAUAAUUAAUUCUGUGUAGAGAGGAUUGACGGAAGCGCAGAGGAAGAGGAGAGGAAAACCGAGCGCAGGGGCGCGUGGAGCGAAGAAGAUGAUUACGCGAUCUAAGUUGGCGGAGCAGCUGAGGGAGUAUCAGAUUCGAUCCAAACGUGACUGGGCUUCUAUUUCCUUUUUCUCUUCCACCUCCAAUCUCGCUUUUUCGAGUCUGAUUUAGCAUGAAUUUGCACGGUUUUAUAUCAAAUAUGUGCAGCCGUUCCUGGGGCUUCCACUGCUUACCUUAUUGUGGCUUGAAGAAGUGGAUUGGAAUUCCUCGUGUGGCUAUAGUCCAUAUUGCUCCAAAAACUAGCAAAGCACUCAAGAUCAUUCCAAAGGAUCCUAGCCACCAAUUCAGCCACCACAUUGAGCUGUAUUUUAGGGGUUUCUUUAUCCUAAUCCAUAUCAAGCAGGGAUAUGCCAGGGUGACUGGUAGUGCAAUCCCUCCUAACAGCCCAGCCAGGUUUUUCAAGAAUGGGAAUGCCACAGCUAUGAAGAAGGUGAGGCAGCAGAAGAAUAAUCGCAGACUUGUUCUAAGCCACCAUGGACACGGCCUGUUCUUUUUGCUGGUGUAUUUGAACUCCAAAUUGUCUAUGGCUGGUACGGCAUAUAUCUGGUAUGAAGUAAGGCAGCUGAUCACCACACAGAGGCUUGUUAACCGCAAGACUACCUUGGAUAUGUCAUUCCUGUGGUAUCUGUCCAGUGCACUCAACAUUCCUCCGUCUGCUGGUAUCUGUGAAAGUACAUGUCAUUACUGUUGAUUUCAGACAGUUUAAAAUACUAAAAUGUUUGCGAGAUGCUGACCAAAUCUCCGUAUGCCCAGUAUCCCCCAAUUGCCAUUGGAAACAAACAGCAUGCAAUGAUCAGGUACGAAUAUUUUACCCCUUCCCACAUUGUCACUUUCGAUGAAUUAUUCACAGUAGAAGGGAUUGUACCCUGCCAGUUGUAACUAACACAAUUGUAAACAUCCAACCAGGUAUGUUUUCAUUUAAUCAGUCAUGCAGAAAUAAUCAAUAUUUAGUGCUAACCUGUAUUUCCAGGACAAGAUUGUGGCCCCUGAAAGCGAGUGCUAUGAUUCCAAGAGCAUUCAGGAUGCUGCAAAUAUUUCCAACAUUGGAUAUGGUCUUGACAGGAUUGAAUGAAACCUCAUACGGUCUAGAUUUGGAUACAGGCAAUGCCCACACCAGUGUACAGUAGUCACAGAAGUUACUGCACCGAAGAGGGAUGCACCGGCAGCAGAGUUCAGGUUUGGCAGCUGAACCAAGAUCAUGGCUAAACCUACAAAAAUUAUGUAACAUUCCAUGGUUGAUACUGAAGUAGCUUUGCCAUCUGCACCGCAUACUAUAAAGAGUCGGAAACAGGGCCAAUAUCUUCCCCAGCCUCUCCCCUGGAAUUACAAAAUGAUGAUUACAGGAAGGAUUUGCAAGAACCGGUAGCACUCACCAGCCAAGGGUCGUAAAAGCCAGAGGAAGAAGAAGAGCCUGGAAUCCGAUUCCAGAGUUGAGGGUGUGAAAAGCAGCAUAAUAAGCAUUCCCGUUUCUGGACUCUGUAAUGGGAAGCCACGAAUCCUGAGGAUCCGAUUGUGUCAGAUGCCCGACUUCUUCCAGGUUGGAAUCAGGAUGAACCGUCGACGAGGCCGAGAAAGAAGCUGAAUGAUGGAAUUUCACGGCGAGGGCAGGGCUUGAGGUUGUCCUCGUUUCCACAACUUCGAUCAUCAUUGCAAAGGUAACCUAAAAAUCACUCAACUGAUACAGUGACUAUAUGGUUAUUUUUUCAAUCUUUGUUGUCUUUCGAGAUCAGAUUGAUGAAGUAACACUGUGGGGAUUAUAUGCAUAUAUAGAACUGAAUUUCUGGGAUGGUUCUUCACAUCUUCUUUUCUUUAUUACUAACAACAAUAAUAAAUAUUAAUGUUAAAUAUUA